GCCGACUUAGCUCAAUUGGCAGAGCAACUGAUUUGUAAUCAGUAGGUUGUAGGUUCGAUUCCUAUAGUCGGCA
This 73-nucleotide transfer RNA is filed under the name Holdemania filiformis. It matches the Rfam family "tRNA". From Rfam's summary of the family: Transfer RNA (tRNA) molecules are approximately 80 nucleotides in length. Their secondary structure includes four short double-helical elements and three loops (D, anti-codon, and T loops). Further hydrogen bonds mediate the characteristic L-shaped molecular structure. tRNAs have two regions of fundamental functional importance: the anti-codon, which is responsible for specific mRNA codon recognition, and the 3' end, to which the tRNAs corresponding amino acid is attached (by aminoacyl-tRNA synthetases). tRNAs cope with the degeneracy of the genetic code in two manners: having more than one tRNA (with a specific anti-codon) for a particular amino acid; and 'wobble' base-pairing, i.e. permitting non-standard base-pairing at the 3rd anti-codon position. The record is from Rfam by way of RNAcentral. RNAcentral also lists the same sequence under 1 other name. Lineage: Bacteria; Bacillati; Bacillota; Erysipelotrichia; Erysipelotrichales; Erysipelotrichaceae.